Molecule: non-coding RNA, 277 nt
Organism: Pelobates cultripes (western spadefoot toad)
Lineage: Eukaryota; Metazoa; Chordata; Amphibia; Anura; Pelobatidae
Source: the annotation of a GenBank genome assembly
GGUUUAGACAAGACCCCUUCGACUGUUAACCAAUUGUUGAAUGUAUACUGUAUGUUUAAACUGUGACGUAUUUUUGCUUUAAGAAGGAGCCCCCACUCCGGGGAAUAAAGCAUUCCUUGGUUUUUCACUGAUCAGAAACUCCGGUGUGAAUUACUUCUAGGGAAAGCGCGCACACAUUAAUCAAUCAAUUUGGAAGGUGUAGAUAGACAAUUUAUCAAAGUUUUCUUUGAUCUAAAACAUUUGGCGCCCGAACAGGGACUGAAAGGGUGGUUACUCC